Molecule: ribosomal RNA, 603 nt
Filed under: uncultured bacterium
Lineage: Bacteria
Description: bacterial SSU rRNA
Rfam family: Bacterial small subunit ribosomal RNA
Source: RNAcentral
GAGUUUGAUCCUGGUUCAGAUUGAACGCUGGCGGCAUGCCUAACACAUGCAAGUCGAACGGUAACAGGUCUUCGGACGCUGACGAGUGGCGGACGGGUGAGUAAUGCGUAGGAAUCUGUCUUUUAGUGGGGGACAACCCAGGGAAACUUGGGCUAAUACCGCAUGAGCCCUGAGGGGGAAAGCGGGGGAUCUUCGGACCUCGCGCUAAGAGAGGAGCCUACGUCCGAUUAGCUAGUUGGCGGGGUAAAGGCCCACCAAGGCGACGAUCGGUAGCUGGUCUGAGAGGACGACCAGCCACACUGGGACUGAGACACGGCCCAGACUCCUACGGGAGGCAGCAGUGGGGAAUUUUUCGCAAUGGGGGCAACCCUGACGAAGCAAUGCCGCGUGGAUGAAGAAGGCCUUCGGGUUGUAAAGUCCUUUCGUGGAGGACGAAAAGGUGGGUUCUAAUACAAUCUGCUAUUGACGUGAAUCCAAGAAGAAGCACCGGCUAACUCCGUGCCAGCAGCCGCGGUAAUACGGGGGUGCAAGCGUUAAUCGGAAUCACUGGGCGUAAAGGGUGCGUAGGCGGUACGUUAGGUCUGUCGUGAAAUCCCCGGGCUC